This 600-nucleotide ribosomal RNA is filed under the name Oidium sp. pmpbb01. RNAcentral describes it as "partial 28S ribosomal RNA". It matches the Rfam family "Eukaryotic large subunit ribosomal RNA", at positions 1 to 604 of the family's 3401-position model. The record is from RNAcentral. Lineage: Eukaryota; Fungi; Ascomycota; Leotiomycetes; Helotiales; Erysiphaceae.
AUGACCUCGGAUCAGGUAGGGAUACCCGCUGAACUUAAGCAUAUCAAUAAGCGGAGGAAAAGAAACCAACAGGGAUUACCUCAGUAACGGCGAGUGAAGCGGUAACAGCUCAAAUUUGAAAUCUGGCUCCUCGGGGCCCGAAUUGUAAUUUGUAGAAGAUGCUUUGGGUCUGGGCCUGGCCUAAGUUCCUUGGAACAGGACGUCGUAGAGGGUGAGAAUCCCGUAUGCGGCUGGCGCCCGUGCCCGUGUAAAGCUCUUUCAACGAGUCGAGUUGUUUGGGAAUGCAGCUCUAAAUGGGUGGUAAAUUUCAUCUAAAGCUAAAUAUUGGCCAGAGACCGAUAGCGCACAAGUAGAGUGAUCGAAAGAUGAAAAGCACUUUGGAAAGAGAGUUAAACAGUACGUGAAAUUGUUGAAAGGGAAGCGCUGGCAACCAGACUUGGGCGCUGUUGAUCCGCUAGGGUUCUCUCUAGGGCACUCGGCAGUGCGCAGGCCAGCAUCGGUUUGGGGGGUUGGAGAAUGGCUGGUGGAAUGUGGCUGUCUUUGGGCAGUGUUAUAGCCACCGGUGGCAUGCAGCCUCCCCGGACCGAGGACCGCGCUUCG